UGCACUUGAAAAGCUAUAAAAAUAGAUUCAUUUCUUAUCUUGAAAUUUUAGUUGCUUUCGUAUUCUCGUCAGAUAAACAUGAGAUUUUUAAUUGUGAUAUUUGCUAUCCUCAUGACCUUGGCAUUGGCCAAUGGCCAGCGUAAUUGUUUGAAGCCUUGUGGCAGAAAUUUAGAUCCUCGGUGUGGUCAACAUAAGGAUGGUACAAUGGAAACUUUUGCAAAUCCUUGCGUUCUGCAAGUUAGCGAAUGUCAAAAGGGCGAAAAAAUCAGGGAACUCCACCGUGGAAAUUGUGCAAAUAAGUUUUAAAGAUGAGGUCGACAGUAAAAAAAAAUGAUAUUACAAACUGAACCAAGUUUUUCUUUAGUAUAAGAAAAGUUUUUAAAUAAAAAAGUACCAUAGAAAUCCUUCUUUCUAUAGGGGACUUUUUUGUGUAAGACAA
RNA transcript from Musca domestica (house fly), 439 nucleotides. RefSeq lists it as uncharacterized. The record is from RefSeq and is a predicted model, not a curated record. Lineage: Eukaryota; Metazoa; Arthropoda; Insecta; Diptera; Muscidae. The transcript is spliced from 2 exons.